RNAcentral lists this ribosomal RNA (255 nucleotides) under Proteus mirabilis. Its description in RNAcentral is "partial 23S ribosomal RNA". It matches the Rfam family "Bacterial large subunit ribosomal RNA", at positions 1088 to 1342 of the family's 2925-position model. The record is from RNAcentral. Lineage: Bacteria; Pseudomonadati; Pseudomonadota; Gammaproteobacteria; Enterobacterales; Morganellaceae.
GACAGCCAGGAUGUUGGCUUAGAAGCAGCCAUCAUUUAAAGAAAGCGUAAUAGCUCACUGGUCGAGUCGGCCCGCGCGGAAGAUGUAACGGGGCUAAACCAUGCACCGAAGCUGCGGCAGCGACACAUAGUGUUGUUGGGUAGGGGAGCGUUCUGUAAGCCUGCGAAGGUGUACUGUGAGGUAUGCUGGAGGUAUCAGAAGUGCGAAUGCUGACAUAAGUAACGAUAAUGCGGGUGAAAAACCCGCACGCCGGAA